AAAUUGAAGAGUUUGAUCAUGGCUCAGAUUGAACGCUGGCGGCAGGCCUAACACAUGCAAGUCGAACGGUAACAGGAAGCAGCUUGCUGCUUCGCUGACGAGUGGCGGACGGGUGAGUAAUGUCUGGGAAACUGCCUGAUGGAGGGGGAUAACUACUGGAAACGGUAGCUAAUACCGCAUAACGUCGCAAGACCAAAGAGGGGGACCUUCGGGCCUCUUGCC
This 222-nucleotide ribosomal RNA is filed under the name Escherichia coli. Its description in RNAcentral is "partial 16S ribosomal RNA". It matches the Rfam family "Bacterial small subunit ribosomal RNA", at positions 1 to 219 of the family's 1533-position model. The record is from RNAcentral. RNAcentral also lists the same sequence under 2 other names. Lineage: Bacteria; Pseudomonadati; Pseudomonadota; Gammaproteobacteria; Enterobacterales; Enterobacteriaceae.